AUUGAACGCUGGCGGCAGGCCUAACACAUGCAAGUCGAACGAGUGGCGGACGGGUGAGUAAUGUCUGGGAAACUGCCUGAUGGAGGGGGAUAACUACUGGAAACGGUCGCUAAUACCGCAUACCAUCGGAGGUGCCCAGCUGGGAUUAGCUGGUUGGUGGGGUAACGGCUCACCAAGGCGACGAUCCCUAGCUGGUCUGAGAGGAUGACCAGCCACACUGGAAAUGAGAGACGGUCCAGACGCCUCAGAGAGGCAGCAGUGGGGAAUAUUGCACAAUGGGCGCAAGCCUGAUGAAGCCAUGCCGCGGGUAUGAAGAAGGGCUUGGAGGUGUAAAGUACUUUCAGCGGGGAGGCGUUACCCGCAGAAGAAGCACCGGCUAACUCCGUGCCAGCAGCCGCGGUAAUAC
Molecule: ribosomal RNA, 406 nt
Filed under: uncultured bacterium
Lineage: Bacteria
Description: partial 16S ribosomal RNA
Rfam family: Bacterial small subunit ribosomal RNA
Source: RNAcentral